This 828-nucleotide ribosomal RNA is filed under the name Pseudomonas sp. RNAcentral's name for it is "bacterial SSU rRNA". It matches the Rfam family "Bacterial small subunit ribosomal RNA", at positions 115 to 944 of the family's 1533-position model. The record is from RNAcentral. Lineage: Bacteria; Pseudomonadati; Pseudomonadota; Gammaproteobacteria; Pseudomonadales; Pseudomonadaceae.
GCCUAGGAAUCUGCCUGGUAGUGGGGGACAACUUACUCGAAAGGGUCGCUAAUACCGCAUACGUCCUACGGGAGAAAGUGGGGGAUCUUCGGACCUCACGCUAUCAGAUGAGCCUAGGUCGGAUUAGCUAGUAGGUGAGGUAAUGGCUCACCUAGGCGACGAUCCGUAACUGGUCUGAGAGGAUGAUCAGUCACACUGGAACUGAGACACGGUCCAGACUCCUACGGGAGGCAGCAGUGGGGAAUAUUGGACAAUGGGCGAAAGCCUGAUCCAGCCAUGCCGCGUGUGUGAAGAAGGUCUUCGGAUUGUAAAGCACUUUAAGUUGGGAGGAAGGGUUGUAGUUUAAUACGCUGCAACUUUGACGUUACCAACAGAAUAAGCACCGGCUAACUCUGUGCCAGCAGCCGCGGUAAUACAGAGGGUGCAAGCGUUAAUCGGAAUUACUGGGCGUAAAGCGCGCGUAGGCGGCUUGAUAAGAUGGGUGUGAAAUCCCCGGGCUUAACCUGGGAACUGCAUCCAUAACUGUCUGGCUAGAGUACAGUAGAGGGUGGUGGAAUUUCCUGUGUAGCGGUGAAAUGCGUAGAUUAGGAAGGAACACCAGUGGCGAAGGCGACCACCUGGACUGAUACUGACGCUGAGGUGCGAAAGCGUGGGGAGCAACAGGAUUAGAUACCCUGGUAGUCCACGCCGUAACGAUGUCUACUAGCCGUUGGAAUCCUUGAGAUUUUAGUGCGCAGCUACGCACUAAGUAGACCGCCUGGGGAGUACGGUCGCAAGAUUAAGACUCAAUGAUUUGACGGGGGCCCGCACAAGCGGUGGAGCAUGUGG